GGGGGUUCAUCUGAAUUGGAGGAGGACGCGUUCAACCUCUCAUCACCCAUCCUCUUCUGCUUCUCAAACAUCAUUUGCAGGUACCUCCCUUGUUCUUCAAUUCGCAACUGCAAAUUUCUUUGUAUCUGAAUUGUUCAUGGAGCCGUUUCUGAACUUCCAUCUGCAUUCGCAAUGCUUCAGUAAUCCCCAUACUCCUGUUUUCAAAAUCAGAGGAACAGCGUUCUGUUUCAAGUCUUCAGCAUAAGAAACACAAAAUAAAACUUUACAAUGUAACUUUAUAUACAAGGGCUAGAAAUCCCUGCCAAGAAUGUAUUAUACCAGCUAAAAAAAACACACCCGAAAAAAGAAAAAAAAAAAAAAGGGUAGAAGAAGAAGAGGAAAAAUGCAUUAUUUUUCACCUAGCCAAACAAGCAGAAAUAACUUCGAAAGUAAUACUAUAUAUAAAUGGAUUUUCCACCAGAUAUUCUUACCAUCAGACACAAAGGUAGUGGGAUCCACAACAACAAAAACAUAUAGGACCCAUGCCUCUGUGUCCAGGGGCUAAGAAAAUCAAGUAAGAAAUUUGUUAAUGUAUAGCAUUUUCCAAACUUUAUUACAAGAAGCAACUUUAACUUAAAACAGAUGCCGAAAGACAGAAACCAAAAUGCUUAUAGCAAGAAAGUUGAUAUCCAAGAACUAGUACACAAAAGAAUCAAGAAUUCCGAAAAUGGAUGACAGAAUUUAGCAAGAAUGUAACAAGUCUACACUUCUAAUUCUUUCGAUGAUUAUAAAGAGUUUCUUGACAUCAAUGGAUCUCCUAACAAAAAAAUUACAUUGACCAAAAGGGUUGGCAAUGAAGUGGCUUUUGGUGAGAGCAACCUCAAAUUUAACUCCACUCAAAAAAACUAAAAAAAAAAAAAAGGGCCAGCCUCAACAUGAGCCAGCCUCUAAUUCAAACUAUACCAAAUCCAUACCUAAUGUCAUUUAGGUGCAAGUUACCAAUCUAAUGUCACAAAAUAAGAUUUUUAGAAGCCACCAAUUGCUUCCUCACGUAGUUUAUGAAAUUUCUUUAAACCUUUUCCAAAAUGACUGUCAGAAAAUAGAAGACAUAAAUCACUAAACAUUUUUAAUGAGAAAGAGUAAAAGGUCUCACUUUCAAGGCCAAGUUACUUAUCGAUCAUAGUUACAGAGAAGCAACAUACUGUAAACUAGAAAUUGAGCUUGCCAACUUUUGAAACAUGUACAGCAUGAAGUAGUUCCUCUGAAGCAAAAGGGGGUAAAGAAUGACAUACAGAUUUCACUAUGAUGUUAUCUGAGAAACUUUCCAGGUAAGGAAAGAUGUAUAAACAAACUUACGUUUUCAAAUCCAAAGAUGUAAUGUCCUCAACAGGAGUUGACUUUUUCUCUGAA
Molecule: non-coding RNA, 1389 nt
Organism: Camellia sinensis
Lineage: Eukaryota; Viridiplantae; Streptophyta; Magnoliopsida; Ericales; Theaceae
Source: RefSeq, a predicted model, not a curated record